GUUCAGAACGUCGUGAGACAGUUCGGUCCCUAUCCGUCGUGGGCGUAGGAAAUUUGAGAGGAGCUGUCCUUAGUACGAGAGGACCGGGAUGGACGCACCGCUGGUGUACCAGUUGUCUUGCCAAAGGCAUCGCUGGGUAGCUAUGUGCGGACGGGAUAAGCGCUGAAAGCAUCUAAGUGCGAAGCCCCCCUCAAGAUGAGAUUUCCCAUUUCUUCAAGAAAGUAAGACACCUCAGAGACGAUGAGGUAGAUAGGCCGGGAGUGGAAGAGCCGUGAGGCUUGGAGCGGACCGGUACUAAUCAGUCGAGGACUUGACCAAAA
RNAcentral lists this ribosomal RNA (320 nucleotides) under Lactobacillus delbrueckii subsp. bulgaricus. RNAcentral describes it as "partial 23S ribosomal RNA". It matches the Rfam family "Bacterial large subunit ribosomal RNA", at positions 2609 to 2925 of the family's 2925-position model. The record is from RNAcentral. Lineage: Bacteria; Bacillati; Bacillota; Bacilli; Lactobacillales; Lactobacillaceae.